Molecule: ribosomal RNA, 255 nt
Filed under: uncultured bacterium
Lineage: Bacteria
Description: partial 16S ribosomal RNA
Rfam family: Bacterial small subunit ribosomal RNA
Source: RNAcentral
GACGGGUGAGUAACGCGUGAGUAACCUGCCUUCAAGAGGGGGAUAACAUUCUGAAAAGGAUGCUAAUACCGCAUGAUAUAUCGGAACCACAUGGUUUUGAUAUCAAAGAUUUUAUCGCUUGAAGAUGGACUCGCGUCCGAUUAGUUUGUUGGUGAGGUAACGGCUCACCAAGACCGCGAUCGGUAGCCGGACUGAGAGGUUGAACGGCCACAUUGGGACUGAGACACGGCCCAGACUCCUACGGGAGGCAGCAUG